RNAcentral lists this ribosomal RNA (659 nucleotides) under Cordylus meculae. Its description in RNAcentral is "partial 12S ribosomal RNA". It matches the Rfam family "Bacterial small subunit ribosomal RNA", at positions 466 to 1426 of the family's 1533-position model. Lineage: Eukaryota; Metazoa; Chordata; Lepidosauria; Squamata; Cordylidae. The record is from RNAcentral.
GAUUUARUUAUAGUAACACAAAGAGUCGGUAAAUUUCGUGCCAGCCACCGCGGUUAUACGAAAGACCUAAAAUAAUGGCCCCCGGCGUAAAGCGUAGCUAGAACUAACUAAAAUUAAGGAUAAAUAUCUUCUCCGCUGUAAAACGCUCAAGUAGAUAAGAACAUCAACCCACCUUAAAAAUCAUUUGACCCUACGAAAGCUAGGACACAAACURGGAUUAGAUACCCCACUAUGCCCAGCCCUAAACUUAGGUAACAAUAUACUACCUACCCGCCAGAGAACUACAAGCAAAACACUUAAAACUCAAAGGACUUGGCGGCAUUCCAUAUCAACCUAGAGGAGCCCGUCCAAUAAUCGAUACUACACGCUCAACCCAACCAUUUCUGGCCACUCCAGCCUAUAUACCGCCGUCGUCAGCUAACCUUGUGAAAGAAAAGAAGUAAGCACAAUAGCCCUCACUAAAACGUCAGGUCAAGGUGUAGCUAAUAAAAUGGGUGCGAUAGGCUACAUUUUCUACCAUAGAAAAAACGGAAAAUACAAUGAAACUUUGUAAUAGAAGGUGAAUUUAGAAGUAAACUAAGAAAGAAUCCUUAUUUUAACACCGCCCUGGAAUGCGCACACACCGCCCGUCACCCUCCUCAAACAACUUAGAUGAGGCA